UACGUAGGGGGCAAGCGUUGUCCGGAUUUACUGGGCGUAAGAGCGUGUAGGCGGCCAAGCAGGUCCGUUGUGAAAACUGGAGGCUUAACCUCCAGACGUCGACGGAAACCGCGUGGCUAGAGUCCGGAAGAGGAGAGUGGAAUUCCUGGUGUAGCGGUGAAAUGCGCAGAUAUCAGGAAGAACACCAAUGGCGAAGGCAGCUCUCUGGGACGGUACUGACGCUGAGACGCGAAAGCGUGGGGAGCGAACAGG
This 252-nucleotide ribosomal RNA is filed under the name uncultured bacterium. RNAcentral's name for it is "partial 16S ribosomal RNA". It matches the Rfam family "Bacterial small subunit ribosomal RNA", at positions 524 to 776 of the family's 1533-position model. The record is from RNAcentral.